GACCUCAGUUCAGGUGAGAUACCGGCGAAUUUAG
Molecule: ribosomal RNA, 34 nt
Filed under: Frankliniella occidentalis (western flower thrips)
Lineage: Eukaryota; Metazoa; Arthropoda; Insecta; Thysanoptera; Thripidae
Description: partial 28S ribosomal RNA
Source: RNAcentral